UUGAGAGUUUGAUCCUGGCUCAGAACGAACGCUGGCGGCAGGCCUAACACAUGCAAGUCGAGCGCACCCUUGAACUUCGGUUCUCUGGGCGAGCGGCGGACGGGUUAGUAACGCGUGGGAAUGUACCCUUCUCUAUGGAAUAGCCUCGGGAAACUGAGAGUAAUACCAUAUACGCCCUUCGGGGGAAAGAUUUAUCGGAGAAGGAUCGGCCCGCGUUAGAUUAGAUAGUUGGUGGGGUAAUGGCCUACCAAGUCUACGAUCUAUAGCUGGUUUUAGAGGAUGAUCAGCCACACUGGGACUGAGACACGGCCCAGACUCCUACGGGAGGCAGCAGUGGGGAAUAUUGGACAAUGGGGGCAACCCUGAUCCAGCGAUGCCGCGUGAGUGAUGAAGGCCUUAGGGUUGUAAAACUCUUUCAGGGGUGAAGAUAAUGACGGUAACCCCAGAAGAAGCUCCGGCUAACUCCGUGCCAG
RNAcentral lists this ribosomal RNA (473 nucleotides) under Fragilariopsis kerguelensis. RNAcentral's name for it is "partial Bacterial small subunit ribosomal RNA". It matches the Rfam family "Bacterial small subunit ribosomal RNA", at positions 1 to 511 of the family's 1533-position model. The record is from RNAcentral. Lineage: Eukaryota; Bacillariophyta; Bacillariophyceae; Bacillariales; Bacillariaceae.